Molecule: long non-coding RNA, 1473 nt
Organism: Cyprinus carpio (common carp)
Lineage: Eukaryota; Metazoa; Chordata; Actinopteri; Cypriniformes; Cyprinidae
Exons: 3
Source: RefSeq, a predicted model, not a curated record
UGGAUGUUUCCCUGGUUUCCUGUCUCUACUUUGGAUUAGUAAAGAGUUAUUUUUGUUAUCUCCUAGAGGGAGAUUGUGACACUCCCGUCACUACAAAAUAGUCAUGAGGGCCUGUUUGAUAUAAUUUCCUGGUUUUCUUGUCACAUGACAACAAAACAGCUUCCUUGCAUGUUGUUUUUACCCCUCUAGACCCUGUUGGUAGAUGUUGUAUCUACACCAUCUGUUUCUAAAAUGCAACUCCCUUGACAGCCAUUCAAAAGUAGCAGUGUGUUCUCACAGAAUAAUAUUUUUCCUUUGACGUCACAGCACAGCAUAGUUGCUAGUGAAGGCUGUAGCACUGUGUGCAUUCUUGAGGAGCCAUCAGCAAAUCAACAUUGUCAUGAUGUCAUUUCCCACGACUCAGUGAUGCAUGGCAUUUAUUGUACAGCUCAUAUAACUGGCCAUUGAGAUGAAUGGGAAAGCUAACAGAUAACGCUCUCCAGAAUGGAAAUGUGAAGAUGGAAUCACCACAAUGUGGAAAACACUACCUCAGCCAAAUAUAAAAUGUCAUACAGACAUGACUGAACAUAUCCACAUGGUAUAAUACAGGAGAAAGUAACCAAUGAAGAGAUCAAAGAUAGAGGAUAAGUCUCACACCCAAUGAAAGCCUCCAGCCACAGUAUCUAUAGCAACAGACUUCACAAUCCAGGAAUCCAGCAGAUAUUCAAAAGGACAAUACAGACUUAAAGAAUUAUUAUUGGACUUCUCCAAUAAUAUGUUAAAAGCACAAACGCACAGGUUGCUCUGUCUGCUCUUCUUGGGUACCACACCAGAGAAGCCACAUGACACUAAUAUUGAGUUUAAUGUAUGUUUUCUUUCUUUAACGUUAAAGGUCACCACCAUCCUGCAUUACAGUAAUGGUAAAACUAGUCCCAUUCCUGGCCAAGAGAAAAAUACCAAUUUGGCUUGAUUUUAGUGUAUGUGCAUGUGUAUCAGAUGGCCAAUGGAUAGACUGUCUGAUGCCAAGACUAUGAUAUAAUAAAGCAGCACCUGAUUCUCAAACUUAUGUUGCGAAGUCAGACGAUGUCAGGUUACAAAGCCACAACACUGACCUCAACAGGCUGCAAAAGCAGAUGAAUGCUUUGGCUUAUUAUAUAGACACAAGCCACGUUUCCAUUAAACUUCAAAUUUCGCUAAUUGAAAAUGCGCCUAAUGGAAACAUUUCAAUUUCGCAAAAACUCUGAUAUAUCGCAAAAAGGUUUUUGCAUUCUCAUGAGGUGGCUUCUCAGGCAAUUUGAAAAAGGAAUAUUAGCAAUAGUUUUUUUAAUCGACAUUUAUAACAUAUCGCAAAACUUUGCACAAAUCUGUAAUGAAAACCUGCCUACUAUUGAGCAGAGUCACAAAUACUACUUUUGCGUGUGGUAUUUCAGUGCAAAACCUGAGUGUUAUUUGCUAAACAUCUGCAAUCAAGUCUGUCCAGGCACAUAAAUGAUC